AGUGCAUGUGGUGGAUGCCUUGGCGAUCACAGGCGAUGAAGGACGCGGCAGUCUGCGAAAAGCCCCGGGGAGCUGACAACGAGCUUUGAUCCGGGGAUCUCCGAAUGAGGGAACUCCAAGCUUUAGCUUGAUCCAUGCGUGAAUACAUAGCGUAUGGAGGCGAACGCGGCGAACUGAAACAUCUCAGUAGCUGCAGGAAAAGAAAUCAACCGAGAUUCCGGAAGUAGCGGCGAGCGAAACCGGAACAGCCUGAAUUCGAUAUUGAGAAGAACACUGGAAGAGUCUGGAAAGGCUCGCCAUAGUGGGUGAUAGCCCCGUACGGGACGUUCAUCUCAAGGUACUGAGGAUUCGAAAAGUAGGUCGGGGCACGUGAAACCCUGGCUGAACAUGGGGGGACCAUCCUCCAAGGCUAAAUACUCGUGAUCGACCGAUAGCGUACUAGUACUGUGAAGGAAAGGUUAAAAGAACCCCGGGAGGGGAGUGAAAUAGAUUCUGAAACCGCAUGCAUACAAACAGUAGGAGCCCUUCGGGGUGACUGCGUACCUUUUGCAUAAUGGGUCAGCGACUUAUGUUAUGUGGCAAGCCUAACCGACUAGGGGAGGCGCAGCGAAAGCGAGUCCGAACAGGGCGAUUCAGUCGCAUGGCAUAGACCCGAAACCAGAUGAGCUAACCAUGGCCAGGCUGAAGGUGUGGUAACACACACUGGAGGGCCGAACCUACUGGUGUUGCAAAACCAGAGGAUGAGCUGUGGUUAGGGGUGAAAGGCUUAACAAAUCUGGAGAUAGCUGGUUCUCCCCGAAAACUAUUGAGGUAGUGCCUUGCGCAUGAGCUUCUGGGGGUAGAGCACUGUUAUAGCUAGGGGGACAUGGCGUCUUACCAAACUAUGGCAAACUCCGAAUACCAGAAAGCUUCGCGCAGGAGACAGAGCACCGGGUGCUAACGUCCGGACUCAAAAGGGAAUCAACCCAGACCGCCAGCUAAGGUCCCUAAUAUCAGCUAAGUGGAAAACGAAGUGGAAAGGCUAAAACAGUCAGGAAGUUGGCUUAGAAGCAGCCAUCCUUCAAAGAAAGCGUAAUAGCUCACUGAUCGAGUCCUUCCGCGCGGAAGAUGUAACGGGGCUAAGUUGAUAACCGAAGCUGCGGAUUCAUACUUUGAGUAUGAGUGGUAGGGGAGCGUUCUGUAAGCCUGUGAAGGUGGAUCGUAAGGUCUGCUGGAGGUAUCAGAAGUGCGAAUGCUGACAUGAGUAACGAUAAAGCGGGUGAAAAGCCCGCUCGCCGCAAACCCAAGGUUUCCUGCUCUACGUUAAUCGGAGCAGGGUGAGUCGGUUCCUAAGGCCAGGCUGAGAAGCGUAGCUGAUGGAAAUCAGGUUAAUAUUCCUGAACCGGCGUUGAAUGCGAUGGGGUGACGGAGCAGCCAGAGUGGACCGGGUGUUGGAUGUCCCGGCUUCCGAGCGAUGGGUGCCUGCAGGCAAAUCCGCAGGCGAAUACCCAGGACGAAGGAUCGGGCCUUCUUUUGAAGGCGAAGCCACUGGAAGCGCUUCCAGGAAAAACCUCUAAGCUUCAGUUCAACGGCGACCGUACCGUAAACCGACACAGGUGGGUGAGCUGAAUAUGCUCAGGCGCUUGAGAGAACUCGGGAGAAGGAACUCGGCAAAUUGACACCGUAACUUCGGAAGAAGGUGUGCCUUUGUAGCUUGACGGGAGAGAAACCCGGAGGGCGAAGAGGUCUCAGAGAAUCGGUGGCUGUAACUGUUUACUAAAAACACAGCGCUCUGCAAAGAUGAAAGUCGACGUAUAGGGUGUGAUGCCUGCCCGGUGCUGGAAGAUUAAUUGAUGGGGUGCAAGCUCCUGAUCGAAGUCCCAGUAAACGGCGGCCGUAACUAUAACGGUCCUAAGGUAGCGAAAUUCCUUGUCGGGCAAGUUCCGACCUGCACGAAUGGCAUAAUGAUGGCCACACUGUCUCCUCCUGAGACUCAGUGAAGUUGAAAUGUUUGUGAUGAUGCAAUCUCCCCGCGGCUAGACGGAAAGACCCCAUGAACCUUUACUGCAGCUUUGCAUUGGACUUUGAACCGAUCUGUGUAGGAUAGGCGGGAGGCUUUGAAGAAUGGACGCCAGUUCAUUCGGAGCCGUCGUUGAAAUACCGCCCUGAUUUGUUUGAGGUUCUAACCUGGGCCAGUAAUCCUGGCUGGGGGGCUGCCCCAUUGGCGGAACUCUUUCAGCUCAUCCAAUGUGAAUUUGCCUGCCAACGCCAAUGUGGAAUAGAGCAUCGGCGACAUGUGUCCCGGGUCGAGGAAGAAACGGUCGCGACCUUCCCACGCGGGGUUCUCGGGGUCGUACACUAAGAACUCGGAGAAGAGUACAUUCACAAAGUCGGCACCGCCCAUAGCGCCACCGGGGUGUCCGGAAUUGGCUUUUUCGACCAUAGAAGCAGCAAGGAUACGGAUGUUGUCCGCUGCAAGGUUCAUAAGUUUCUUGUCGUUCAUAUUAUAAAAUAUAAUUGUUAUUUGAAUAUUCUGUAAGUGAAUUGAAUUCUUGCUUGUUGUUUUACCAGGACAAAGAUAACUCUUUAUGUGCAAUUUACAAUAUAGAAAGCUGCUCUUUUUUCUUGCCUGUAUAACCUGCUUCCUGUUUUGAAUACAAUAACUGUUCACUGCUGACUGGUGGGUUUAGGAUUGUCUGCCGGAAGGUAAACGAGGUGUGUUGUCGUUGUUGGGAGUUAUUUAUUUCUCUGCCGGAAAUGGAACAAUACCGGCUGCCGAGGAGUUUGUCCGGUAUAGAUGACAGGAAGGUCGGUUUAAUAAAAAAGACGCCUUCUUCACAGAAAGCGUCUUUUU
Molecule: ribosomal RNA, 2833 nt
Filed under: human gut metagenome
Description: bacterial LSU rRNA
Rfam family: Bacterial large subunit ribosomal RNA
Source: RNAcentral